GAGAAUACAAGACAACGUGAGGAGAUGCAGCAGCAGCUUUUUGGAGUUCAGAGCAUGUUGGCACAAUUUUUGGAAAAUCGCAAUCCACCAAAUUCUCGACAAUAGAUGGCUCAAUGGUAAUUGAUGGAUGAACUCGUGCACAAAGCUGAAUUGUACAGGACAAAUUGGCACUUUUUGUAUUUUUGGAAGGAUUAUAUAUUUUUGUAUAGAUGUAUAUAGAAAAUAUAUUUUUGGAUACACUACUAGUUAUAUUUUUGGAUGGGUGUGUAUAGAAAAUAUUUGGUAGACAACUAGUUAUAUUUUUGGGUUGAUGUACAUGGAUAAAAAUUUAAAACGUGUUUAAUUUUUAUGCUAGAUGAAAUAUGUAGUUUCGAAUUAUUUGCGGAUGUAAACUUAUAAUAGUUGCUGACUUUAAUUAAACAGGUUUAGAAAUGGUUGAUAUAUGUAUUUUGUUGAAUGUUGAUGAUUCAAUUUAUUUGUUGGUUUGAAUGA
Non-coding RNA from Camellia sinensis, 492 nucleotides. The record is from RefSeq and is a predicted model, not a curated record. NCBI's taxonomy places the organism in Eukaryota, Viridiplantae, Streptophyta, Magnoliopsida, Ericales, Theaceae.